CCUAUUGUUUUAGAAGUGGUUUUGUUAAAACCAUUCUUAUCUUGGUUAGAAGGUUCACAAGUUGGC
RNAcentral lists this transfer RNA (66 nucleotides) under Trachelipus rathkii. RNAcentral's name for it is "tRNA-Asn". Lineage: Eukaryota; Metazoa; Arthropoda; Malacostraca; Isopoda; Trachelipodidae. The record is from RNAcentral.